RNAcentral lists this ribosomal RNA (253 nucleotides) under uncultured bacterium. RNAcentral describes it as "partial 16S ribosomal RNA". It matches the Rfam family "Bacterial small subunit ribosomal RNA", at positions 524 to 776 of the family's 1533-position model. The record is from RNAcentral.
UACGUAGGGUGCGAGCGUUAAUCGGAAUUACUGGGCGUAAAGCGUGCGCAGGCGGUUCGUUGUGUCGGCGGUGAAAGCCCCGGGCUUAACCUGGGAAUGGCCGUUGAAACUGGCGAACUGGAGUGUGGCAGAGGGGGGUGGAAUUCCGCGUGUAGCAGUGAAAUGCGUAGAGAUGCGGAGGAACACCGAUGGCGAAGGCGGUUCUCUGGGCAUGUCCUGACGCUGAGGAGCGAAAGUGUGGGGAGCGAACAGG